RNAcentral lists this ribosomal RNA (441 nucleotides) under uncultured bacterium. Its description in RNAcentral is "partial 16S ribosomal RNA". It matches the Rfam family "Bacterial small subunit ribosomal RNA", at positions 338 to 795 of the family's 1533-position model. The record is from RNAcentral.
CCUACGGGAGGCUGCAGUGGGGAAUAUUGCACAAUGGGGGAAACCCUGAUGCAGCGACGCCGCGUGAGUGAAGAAUUAUUUCGGUAUGUAAAGCUCUAUCAGCAGGGAAGAAAAAAGACGGUACCUGACUCAGAAGCCCCGGCCAACUACGUGCCAGCAGCCGCGGUAAUUCGGAGGGGGCAAGCGUUAUCCGGAUUUACGGGGUGUAAAGGGAUCGUAGACGGCGCGGGAAGUCUGAAGUGAAAGGGAGGGGCUUAACCCCAGAACUGCUUUGGAAACUGCCAUGCUAGAGUGCUGGAGAGGUAAGUGGAAUUCCUGGUGUAGCGGUGAAAUGCGUAGAUAUUAGGAGGAACACCGGGGGCGAAGGCGGCUUACUGGACAGUAACUGACGUUGAGGCUCGAAAGCGUGGGGAGCAAACAGGAUUAGAUACCCUAGUAGUC